AUACGAAGGGUGCAAGCGUUAAUCGGAAUUACUGGGCGUAAAGCGCGCGUAGGUGGUUCGUUAAGUUGGAUGUGAAAGCCCCGGGCUCAACCUGGGAACUGCAUCCAAAACUGGCGAGCUAGAGUAUAGCAGAGGGUGGUGGAAUUUCCUGUGUAGCGGUGAAAUGCGUAGAUAUAGGAAGGAACACCAGUGGCGAAGGCGACCACCUGGGAUAAUACUGACACGGAGGUGCGAAAGCGUGGGGAGCAAACAGGAUUAGAUCCCCUGGUAGUCCACGCCGUAAACGAUGUCGACUAGCCGUUGGGAGCCUUGAGAUCUUAGUGGCGCAGCUAACGCAUUAAGUCGACCGCCUGGGGAGUACGGCCGCAAGGUUAAAACUCAAAUGAAUUGACGGGG
Molecule: ribosomal RNA, 396 nt
Filed under: uncultured bacterium
Lineage: Bacteria
Description: partial 16S ribosomal RNA
Rfam family: Bacterial small subunit ribosomal RNA
Source: RNAcentral